RNAcentral lists this unclassified non-coding RNA (246 nucleotides) under soil metagenome. RNAcentral describes it as "partial contains small subunit ribosomal RNA, internal transcribed spacer 1, and 5.8S ribosomal RNA". The record is from RNAcentral.
UCUCCGUUGGUGAACCAGCGGAGGGAUCAUUACCGAGUUUACAACUCCCAAACCCAUGUGAACAUUACCUCUAUGUUGCUUCGGCGGAGCCGCCCCGGCGCCCGGAACCCCCUGCGGUCCCGCGGCCCGGAACCAAGGCGCCCGCCGGAGGCCACAAACUCUUCUGUUUUUACAGUUUCUUCUGAGUGUGCCGCAAGGCAGUAUACAAAUGAAUCAAAACUUUCAACAACGGAUCUCUUGGUUCUG